Molecule: ribosomal RNA, 253 nt
Filed under: uncultured bacterium
Lineage: Bacteria
Description: partial 16S ribosomal RNA
Rfam family: Bacterial small subunit ribosomal RNA
Source: RNAcentral
UACGGAGGGAGCUAGCGUUGUUCGGAAUUACUGGGCGUAAAGCGCACGUAGGCGGCUUUGUAAGUUAGAGGUGAAAGCCCGGGGCUCAACCCCGGAAUUGCCUUUAAGACUGCGUCGCUUGAAUCCGGGAGAGGUGAGUGGAAUUCCCGGUGUAGCGGUGAAAUGCGCAGAUAUCGGGAAGAACACCCGUGGCGAAGGCGGCUCUCUGGAACGCAACUGACGCUGAGACGCGAAAGCGUGGGGAGCAAACAGG